RNAcentral lists this long non-coding RNA (260 nucleotides) under Lepidothrix coronata (blue-crowned manakin). RNAcentral's name for it is "lncRNA (ENSLCOG00000007143.1)". The record is from RNAcentral. Lineage: Eukaryota; Metazoa; Chordata; Aves; Passeriformes; Pipridae.
UGAUGGGGAGGUUGGACACAGUACAGAGAAGAACGCUUCCUGCUGCCUUCCUUCUCCAGCUCCAUAGCCCAAGCUCAGCUGAACCCAGGACAGGCUCUCCAGGCUGGAAGCCACAGUGCACCAAGGCAGACUGUGCUUCAUGAUACCAUGGAAAGAUGAAAGCACGGGUCAAAUGCAGACUCUGGAUCUGCAUUUAGCACUCAAAAGCUCCUCUGCUUUAAUCCCAGCUCCAGCAGUCCUUCCCUGUGUGGUCUUAUGGG